RNAcentral lists this ribosomal RNA (871 nucleotides) under uncultured organism. RNAcentral describes it as "bacterial SSU rRNA". It matches the Rfam family "Bacterial small subunit ribosomal RNA", at positions 9 to 873 of the family's 1533-position model. The record is from RNAcentral.
AGAGUUUGAUCAUGGCUCAGAUUGAACGCUGGCGGCAGGCUUAACACAUGCAAGUCGAGCGGAGAUGAGGUGCUUGCACCUUAUCUUAGCGGCGGACGGGUGAGUAAUGCUUAGGAAUCUGCCUAUUAGUGGGGGACAACAUUCCGAAAGGAAUGCUAAUACCGCAUACGUCCUACGGGAGAAAGCAGGGGAUCUUCGGACCUUGCGCUAAUAGAUGAGCCUAAGUCGGAUUAGCUAGUUGGUGGGGUAAAGGCCUACCAAGGCGACGAUCUGUAGCGGGUCUGAGAGGAUGAUCCGCCACACUGGGACUGAGACACGGCCCAGACUCCUACGGGAGGCAGCAGUGGGGAAUAUUGGACGAUGGGGGGAACCCUGAUCCAGCCAUGCCGCGUGUGUGAAGAAGGCCUUAUGGUUGUAAAGCACUUUAAGCGAGGAGGAGGCUACUGAGACUAAUACUCUUGGAUAGUGGACGUUACUCGCAGAAUAAGCACCGGCUAACUCUGUGCCAGCAGCCGCGGUAAUACAGAGGGUGCGAGCGUUAAUCGGAUUUACUGGGCGUAAAGCGUGCGUAGGCGGCUUUUUAAGUCGGAUGUGAAAUCCCCGAGCUUAACUUGGGAAUUGCAUUCGAUACUGGGAAGCUAGAGUAUGGGAGAGGAUGGUAGAAUUCCAGGUGUAGCGGUGAAAUGCGUAGAGAUCUGGAGGAAUACCGAUGGCGAAGGCAGCCAUCUGGCCUAAUACUGACGCUGAGGUACGAAAGCAUGGGGAGCAAACAGGAUUAGAUACCCUGGUAGUCCAUGCCGUAAACGAUGUCUACUAGCCGUUGGGGCCUUUGAGGCUUUAGUGGCGCAGCUAACGCGACAAGUAGACCGCC